GCUUCUACUUUAACUGCAAUUAAAACAAUAGUACUAGACAACUUUAAGUAGAAAGCAUUUAAUUUAUUUCUUCACUUAUUUGUAGAGUGAACAAAUGAUUCACAAUUCUGGAAAUAAUUCCACUUAGGUAACUUAACAGUUGUUAGGUUUGACAAUAAAGAUAUACUAUGAGAGGAGAAGAGUUUAUGGGUUUGGGGUGGAAGGAAUUUCUGGAAGAAAUAAAAAAUGUUCUUUGCCCUUGAUAUUGCAAACUCACUGAUACAAGUGCCUUGAAUUUACUACUAUUAUUAUUAUUAUUAUUAUUAGAGAUGGAGUUUCACUCAUGCCUCCCAGGCUAGGGUACAAUGGCGUGAUCUCAGCUCAGUGAAACCUCUGCCUCCCAGGAGAAUGGCGUGAACCCGGGAGGCGGAGCUUGCAGUGAGCCGAGAUCCUGCCUCUGCACUGCAGCCUGGGCGACAGAGGGAGACUCCGUCUCAAAAAAAAAAAAAAAAAAAAAGUAGAGAUGGGAUUUCUAGCCUCCUAAAUUAAUUUAGCCUCCCAAAUGCCAGACAAACAAUCUAACAUAAAAUUUACCUUGAAUAAGAUAUAUUGAUUCUGAGCCGCUUUGUAUUUUUUCUAACUUUGGCAUCUGUAUCUUGGUGCUUUCUGUUAGACUGAUAGUCUCUUGUACUUCAGCGCUAACUUUUUUCUUCAUUACUUUCUGUGUAUAUAGACAGCAUAUUUUUUUGUAGAACAUUAACCCAGAUUGCUAAUAGCUUCAUGUUACGGCAUUCUUCCACACAGUCCAGAUUGAUUUAAGGAAAAGCAGAAGUAGAAGUCAAAGUGUGUUAUAAAUUGAGACUGAAAAACAUGCUUUAAAAAAUAGAUUUAAUUUCUUACACUGUGAAUAGCCAUUGUAUUGUUUUGUUUCUGAUAAAUCAGUUGUUUUGGGCUCCUAUUUUUGAACUGUUAAAAAUGUUGAUGCUUUUCGUGGAUAAAAGUAGUGCCUCUUUAUACAACUGAUGGGGUUUUAAAAAGUAUGUAAGCUGCCUUUUUUGUUAAACUUAUUUUAAAUGCUUUAGUAUUUAAAGGGUGUAUGUUAUGAAUUAAUCUGCAUAUUUAAAAACUUUUUGUAAAGCGAAUAACUACUUCCUGAUUUACAUCUCAAUAUAUUCUCCUUUCAUUUGCCCAAUUUAAAAAAUAUGUAGUCUCUAUUGUUGCUGUUUACCAAUAGUUUUAGAUCCCAAUGUGUAUUAGAAUUAUAGCUACAAAAAUUUGCAAGUAAAAUUUAGCAAUUUCCUAUUGAAACAUGAUCUCAUUAUUAUGUUUUUUAAUAUGUAGAAUAGACACUUUAAAUAAACAGGUGUGAAAAUUGUAAAGGAAUAUAUAUGACAACUAUUUUCUGUACAUUAAUGUCUAAACAUUAUGCUUACUUGUUUUUCAUAAUAAAGACAUUUUGGAACCAA
This 1445-nucleotide long non-coding RNA is filed under the name Macaca mulatta (Rhesus monkey). RNAcentral describes it as "lncRNA (ENSMMUG00000061437.1)". The record is from RNAcentral. Lineage: Eukaryota; Metazoa; Chordata; Mammalia; Primates; Cercopithecidae.